This 269-nucleotide long non-coding RNA is filed under the name Lathyrus oleraceus (garden pea). RNAcentral's name for it is "Pisum sativum (pea) long non-coding RNA (PSAT_LNC027953)". The record is from RNAcentral. Lineage: Eukaryota; Viridiplantae; Streptophyta; Magnoliopsida; Fabales; Fabaceae.
GAAAAGCUGAAGAGUUUUUCUUCUUUUUAUUUUCUUCCUUUUUGUGAGUGUGGAGAAAAAGAGAAAAGUUUUUGAUGAGUGAUGGGUGGUAGGUAGUAUAGGUCAGUGGUGGUUGGAAGAAGGAGGGUGGCGGUGAGCGACGAUGAAGGUGAAUAGGGACGGAGGUUUUCGAUGAGAGAGUGAAAACUCAACAUAUUUUCUUCUUUUUUUUGUUUUUUGUCUUUUCCUCAGUGAGAGGGUGAGAUUGAGAAAGAAGGGAGAGAUGUGUG